ACGGGUGAGUAAUACAUCGGAACAUGUCCUGUAGUGGGGGAUAGCCCGGCGAAAGCCGGAUUAAUACCGCAUACGAUCUAUGGAUGGAAGCGGGGGACCUUCGGGCCUCGCGCUAUAGGGUUGGCCGAUGGCUGAUUAGCUAGUUGGUGGGGUAAAGGCCUACCAAGGCGACGAUCAGUAGCUGGUCUGAGAGGACGACCAGCCACACUGGGACUGAGACACGGCCCAGACUCCUACGGGAGGCAGCAGUGGGGAAUUUUGGACAAUGGGCGAAAGCCUGAUCCAGCAAUGCCGCGUGUGUGAAGAAGGCCUUCGGGUUGUAAAGCACUUUUGUCCGGAAAGAAAUCCUUGGCUCUAAUACAGUCGGGGGAUGACGGUACCGGAAGAAUAAGCACCGGCUAACUACGUGCCAGCAGCCGCGGUAAUACGUAGGGUGCAAGCGUUAAUCGGAAUUACUGGGCGUAAAGCGUGCGCAGGCGGUUUGCUAAGACCGAUGUGAAAUCCCCGGGCUCAACCUGGGAACUGCAUUGGUGACUGGCAGGCUAGAGUAUGGCAGAGGGGGGUAGAAUUCCACGU
RNAcentral lists this ribosomal RNA (576 nucleotides) under uncultured bacterium. RNAcentral describes it as "bacterial SSU rRNA". It matches the Rfam family "Bacterial small subunit ribosomal RNA", at positions 102 to 674 of the family's 1533-position model. The record is from RNAcentral.